CAGUCGCCGCGGGAAUACGAAGGGUGCAAGCGUUACUCGGAAUUACUGGGCGUAAAGCGUGCGUAGGUGGUGGUUUAAGUCCGUUGUGAAAGCCCUGGGCUCAACCUGGGAAUUGCAGUGGAUACUGGGUCACUAGAGUGUGGUAGAGGAUAGUGGAAUUUCCGGUGUAGCAGUGAAAUGCGUAGAGAUCGGAAGGAACAUCUGUGGCGAAGGCGACUAUCUGGGCCAACACUGACACUGAGGCACGAAAGCGUGGGGAGCAAACAGGAUUAGAUACCCCGGUAGUCCAUGUCUCUUAUAC
Molecule: ribosomal RNA, 301 nt
Filed under: uncultured bacterium
Lineage: Bacteria
Description: partial 16S ribosomal RNA
Rfam family: Bacterial small subunit ribosomal RNA
Source: RNAcentral